Nothoprocta perdicaria is the source of this 1999-nucleotide long non-coding RNA. RefSeq lists it as uncharacterized. The transcript is spliced from 2 exons. Lineage: Eukaryota; Metazoa; Chordata; Aves; Tinamiformes; Tinamidae. The record is from RefSeq and is a predicted model, not a curated record.
UGCAGGAUCUCUGCAGCUCACAGUGAAAAUGCUGGACUCUCAACCUAAGUGUCCGUUGAGUCUGACUCAGAGAUUUCUAUUUUCUUACUAUGGACCAUGUGGUCUUUAAUUUCAUCAUCAAAAGCUCUAAAUUUUUAAUUUCUGACCAAGUGGGCAGAAUACCAUUUGUAGGCAAGAAAAGCUCUCCAAAUUAAAAAUCUGUCUACCUGCUUGGAAACAGCAGAAAAAGGAAUAAUUUAUUGUGAAAUCAACCUGCUGUUGAAGCCAGUGAUUGCUUUGUGUGAUUGUGGGUUGAGGAGUGGAGGAGUUAAGGAAUUAAUGCAGAAAAGCAGUGGAAAGGAAUUACAGAUGAGAAAAACUUCUGGUUGAAUUAGGAGUUGUAGAAAUCUGACUAUAAAUUAUUAGCCUUGCUACAAGGCAAUGGUGAAAGCAUUCAGAAGGCAAAAGACAGGCAGAAUAAAAGAAAGUGCGGGAGCUCACUGACUGCUCAGUUUUCAAUACAGUGGAAGAGAAAUAAAUACACUUUGGUGAAAAAUAUCAAGGAGAUUAAGGACUUCAAAAUAUCGGGUCACCCGAGUUUUCUGCUUAUGUUCAGCAGCUCAUAGGAAUCAUGUGAAGAACCAUACCACCUGCUGUAUUUAUUGUGCUUGCUUGUGCUUUAAUCAUUGCCAACAUGCCAAUGUCAUGGCUUUAAUCUUUGCCAACAUGAACUCCAACAGGGUUCAAACAAAGGUGAGAGAUGCCAUGAUUAUGUUAAGGAAACAGGAGACAAUUGGAUUGGGCAGAGAACUACUUUUAAAAGACUGAAAACUGUCCGUAGCUUGGGAGCUCAGCAUUUCUCACCCAGCUUGGACACAAUGGAAGCCAGGGCAUUUGUAACAUUCCUACAGUUACAAACGUGCAAGAGGAUCUGUAUGGAGCACAAGCUCUGUCUUCAGUCUCCUACAAAAAGUGCCGUCUCUUAAGGCCACAAAGAGCCUUUUGGACUCGUGAUCCAGAGGGAGGAAGGCUGCCUGGAAAUUGCCACCCCCGCAACGUCUGUGCUUGGGUUUCCCCAGGGAGAUCUCUCUGCUCUCUCUGAGCUUGGCUGCCCUGACAGAGUCGCACGCCAAGGAGCCUACGGCAGUUUAGUAGUUGGCAAAAAUGAGUUUAGUCCAAGUUGUGCUUAAAAAAUAAUAAAACAGACAUUUUGAUUUUCUCCUCUUAGAAGGCACAUGUAUCUAAAGAAGUUUCCGUACGUAAAACAAACUACAUGAAACUGAAAAAUCAUCUGCAUUGUGAAAAGGUGUUUUCUCUUGGAGUGCUCUCUGAGGGGAAAAGGCACCACCAAGACAGCUUUGAACUAUACAGCUUGGACCCAAGCUUUCUUGGCAUGCAAGACCAAGCAACACCUCAGCAUACUCAAGGCUGGGGAGACAAAAUGCCUUCGUGUUUGCAAAGGGCAAGGGAUACUCCUCCUUCAAGUUUCAUGGCCCUGUCCUAGCCCUGCUUUGUUGCCUGCCAUGCCUGGGGUGAUGGACUCCUCUAUCAGCAUCUGGCUCUGUGCUCGCUACCAUUAUGAACAUUUAAGACAUUAAGAACUAAUAGCACCGGUACUUGGCCUUUAAGCUUGGGAACAUGCAGCAGACAGUUUUAUUCCUGUGCACUGAUUCUAAACCAUUAAUCUUGUUUAUGGAUUUUUAAUAAAAUUUUCUACUCCUUCAAAAGAUUAAGCAGUGCACUUUUGCCUAGGGUAUUUGGAAGCAGUAUAAAAGUAGAAACAAUAUUGGUAGCCCAUUUCUGAUUUUUUUACAGUUUGUUUUAAUUGGUAACCAAGCUUAAAUAUAAUUUUUCAAUGCUGUAUUUUUUUAUUCCAAAUCUUUAAUGUUUUCCAGAUCCACUCCAGGUUCACUGGACUGUGUAGUAACUAUGCCUUAAUUUUGAUUCAGAGGAAAGCACCAUGCCCAUUUUGAGCAUUCCUUAUUUGCUUACUUUUGCUCUUUUAUUUUUAGCUAUAUUU